GCCCCUGUAGCUCAACGGACAGAGCAGAUCCGUCCUAAGGAUAAGGUUGCCCGUUCGAAUCGGGCCAGGGGCGCCA
This 76-nucleotide transfer RNA is filed under the name Armatimonadota bacterium. Its description in RNAcentral is "Armatimonadetes bacterium (marine sediment metagenome) tRNA-Arg". It matches the Rfam family "tRNA". From Rfam's summary of the family: Transfer RNA (tRNA) molecules are approximately 80 nucleotides in length. Lineage: Bacteria; Bacillati; Armatimonadota. RNAcentral also lists the same sequence under 1 other name. The record is from RNAcentral.